UUGAACGCUGGCGGCAGGCCUAACCCAUGCCAGUCGAGCGGAUGAAGGGAGCUUGCUCCUGGAUUCAGCGGCGGACGGGUGAGUAAUGCCUAGGAAUCUGCCUGGUAGUGGGGGAUAACGUCCGGAAACGGGCGCUAAUACCGCAUACGUCCUGAGGGAGAAAGUGGGGGAUCUUCGGACCUCACGCUAUCAGAUGAGCCUAGGUCGGAUUAGCUAGUUGGUGGGGUAAAGGCCUACCAAGGCGACGAUCCGUAACUGGUCUGAGAGGAUGAUCAGUCACACUGGAACUGAGACACGGUCCAGACUCCUACGGGAGGCAGCAGUGGGGAAUAUUGGACAAUGGGCGAAAGCCUGAUCCAGCCAUGCCGCGUGUGUGAAGAAGGUCUUCGGAUUGUAAAGCACUUUAAGUUGGGAGGAAGGGCAGUAAGUUAAUUCCUUGCUGUUUUGACGUUACCAACAGAAUAAGCACCGGCUAACUUCGUG
RNAcentral lists this ribosomal RNA (483 nucleotides) under uncultured bacterium. Its description in RNAcentral is "partial 16S ribosomal RNA". It matches the Rfam family "Bacterial small subunit ribosomal RNA", at positions 30 to 507 of the family's 1533-position model. The record is from RNAcentral.